Molecule: microRNA precursor, 96 nt
Organism: Nicotiana attenuata
Lineage: Eukaryota; Viridiplantae; Streptophyta; Magnoliopsida; Solanales; Solanaceae
Rfam family: MIR6152 microRNA precursor family
Source: Rfam
UGGACAAAUUAUUGUAUUCGACUGUAUUCACGGCGUGAAACGGGGGAUUACACUGUUUUUAAACGGAAAGUGAAUCAAUUAACAUAAUAGACUCCU